GAUCCGUAAGCGACAUAAUCUCGAGAGGCAUAUAAGUGAACUUGUUCAAGCCUAAAGGCUAAUUAAUAUUUCAACAUUUGUAGUAUAGCUUCAAGAAGCAUAUAAAAGAACUCAUUCAAGCUUAUGGGUGAACUACACCAUCACCAGUCCAGUAGGAACUGGACAUCUUAUAACGCUCUUGUACUUCGAGUUCUAGCAUAAAGAGCUAACAUAGAAUUUCUUGAAAUUCUAAGGUGUAACAUGUACGAAUGACUAUCAAUUCACAUAUGAAUAAAUCUAGAUCCUUAGGGAGAUCACAUCAAACAUAUGGAACUCUAUAUCUAGGAAACCGAUAGAUAUUCCAAAAUUGAGAUGUUUAGCCUUACAUACCUUGAUUCUCAACCUUUAGCUCAACUACAAAGAAUCAAUCCAUCUGUUAUAAGCUUCAACCUACAUAGAACGUUAAAGACGAGGACUGGAAUCAACAAUAACAACCCAACAUCAUGCUUUAAUUAUACAAACAAUUCGUCAAACACUCGGAGAGCGACGAGUUGUCGAGACUUAGAACUCAUUGGCGUUCUCCACACCCAACCUUCUCCUAGCUCACACAACAAACAAACUCCAUACAAUGCUAAAUAAUACCUCCCGUUCUUCAUAACACAUAAAACAACCCCUUACUCAUCUCAAACAAAUAACAAAUCUUGGACUCACAGCUUCCGAUCAUCAUCCCGUGAGUUCUUAUCGUAAAACAUACUAAAACACUCACAUGAGCUCGUACAUGAAGGUGGAAGAGAAGCCUUAUCUUGGCUGCCGAACCCUAGAACUCUCUUCACUUAGUUCUCUUGGAAUAACCCCUUCGAUUUGCAAUAAUCCGCAGAUGAAUUGAUGUUAAAAUCAUGAAAUCAAUGGGGGGAAUAACCAUGUUUAAUUCUUGGAAGAAGCUUACCUUGAAGAUCUUUGAUGACGGAGAGAAAAACUCGAGAGAGCUGUUUAGUUCGUCCAAGGGAAAUGUUACAAAUGAAUUCCCAAAGUUUAAACAUAAAGAGGCGUUUGGCUAUACAUUUUGACAAAAUAA
This 1054-nucleotide long non-coding RNA is filed under the name Nicotiana tabacum (common tobacco). RNAcentral describes it as "long non-coding RNA (NTAB_LNC002893)". Lineage: Eukaryota; Viridiplantae; Streptophyta; Magnoliopsida; Solanales; Solanaceae. The record is from RNAcentral.